UACGCAGCUUGCUGCGUGUAUGGUUAGUGGCAGACGGGUGAGUAAUGCAUAGGAAUCUACCUAGUAGUAUGGGAUAGCCACUAGAAAUGGUGGGUAAUACUGUAUAAUCCCUGCGGGGGAAAGAUUUAUCGCUAUUAGAUGAGCCUAUGUCAUAUUAGCUAGUUGGUGGGGUAAUGGCCUACCAAGGCGGUGAUCUGUAGCUGGUCUGAGAGGAUGAUCAGCCACACUGGAACUGAGACACGGCCCAGACUCCUACGGGAGGCAGCAGUGGGGAAUAUUGGACAAUGGGCGCAAGCCUGAUCCAGCUAUGCCGCGUGAGUGCGGAAGGCCUUA
RNAcentral lists this ribosomal RNA (333 nucleotides) under Anaplasma marginale. RNAcentral describes it as "bacterial SSU rRNA". It matches the Rfam family "Bacterial small subunit ribosomal RNA", at positions 72 to 419 of the family's 1533-position model. Lineage: Bacteria; Pseudomonadati; Pseudomonadota; Alphaproteobacteria; Rickettsiales; Anaplasmataceae. The record is from RNAcentral.